AUGAAGAGUAACGCGGAUAAACACCGCUCUUUCCGGGAAUUUGCCGUAGGGGACAUUGUCUAUCUGAAACUUCAGCCCUACAUGCAAUCUUCAGUGGCUCCGCGGGAAAACCACAAACUGUCAUUCAAGUUCUAUGGCCCAUACCCAAUCAUCGAGAAGAUCAACAUUGUCACCUACAAGUUGCAGCUUCCGGCACAUGCGUCCGCCCACCCCAUUUUUCAUGUGUCGCAGCUUCGCCGAGCACUCCUCCCUGGUACGGUCAUAACUCCUGAUCUUCCCAUAUGUACUGACAUGCUUGCCAUUCCCGUGGAGAUACUCCAGACUCACUGGCGCCAGAAGAAUGGCGCUAUGGUGGAGCAAGUCAAGGUGCGUUGGUCACCGGACUCUGCCAAGGAAGACACCUGGGAAGACCGUGCUGCUCUCUUCGAUCGCUUCCCUCAAACUGCGGCUUGGGAUCAAGCCGCCACUCAAGGAGAGAGGGGGGGGAUGUGA
This 492-nucleotide ribosomal RNA is filed under the name Triticum aestivum (bread wheat). Its description in RNAcentral is "partial small subunit ribosomal RNA". The record is from RNAcentral. Lineage: Eukaryota; Viridiplantae; Streptophyta; Magnoliopsida; Poales; Poaceae.